Molecule: long non-coding RNA, 2951 nt
Filed under: Olea europaea subsp. europaea
Lineage: Eukaryota; Viridiplantae; Streptophyta; Magnoliopsida; Lamiales; Oleaceae
Source: RNAcentral
UUGAUUUACGUAUAAUAUUAUUUUAUGGAAGAUUGUGUGGUUGAAAAUAGGAGAGAGAAAAAUAGAAUGUAAUGUAAUGUAAUUUAAUGAAAAUCAAACAAGGGCUUGAGGAUACCACGUUUGAGUUGAAUUUUCCCCACGUCACUGGCAAGUUAGAAUCGAAAUUAUUAACAUCGGGCCCAUAAUUUUCAUUGAUGUUCCCCAGUCAACGAUCAACUUGCUCCACCGAUGUCAUAAAACCGUCUUCCACGUCUGCCUCAGUGCACAAGAAACCGAUAAGGAUGAUUCUGCACCAUGUAUUUCCUUCUCCAUCAAAGUUCACCAGGAAUUGAAACUGUUUGCUCUUGGCCUACCACCACUAGACAUAACCUAUACAGGGAUGGACUGUGCAAUAUGUUGUCCAGUACCAAGACUGCCCUGAUCUUUUGAAAGAUAAAACUACUUGAGCAGACCCAUCCAGCUCUUGUGCCAAAACCGCCAUAUCGAAAAAUGAAUCCAAACAAUCAAACGCUAAUUCAAUCUCUGAUCUAAAACGUGUAUUCUACUUAAAAAAGGCCAUAGGACAAUUCUAAACAAAAUAUGAGUCUUUCAACCAAAUGAGAGAUAAUAUUCUUUAAAAAGUCAAUAAUGAUAAAUUCACGAUCAUAUGACCAACCUUAAUUUCACCUGUACAUCCAAUUGAUAUAAGAAUUUUUCGAAUCUUUAACAAUGGUGGCGUACCAUGUGAGAGUGAAGUGACGCAAAAGGAUUAUUUCCAAGACCUUUUGGCAUUUGAAGGUAAAAAAGCUUGUUCAUGGUGGUGAUGUAUGGUGAUGACUAAUGAGUGGGUGGGCUGGUGUGAUUUCAAUGAAUCUCAAGGUUUAGAGGGUGGUGGCUAUGGAUUUCUUCAUUGUCACCAAUGAAUUAGUAGUGACAAAAAAUUUCAGAGGCCAUUCAUCAAUAAACGGAUCCACCGUAGGGCUUGUUUCACCCACUUGACCACCAACACUUGCCAUAGAGGAAAUAACUGUAGUGCUUUAUGCAAUGGGGUACCAUGAAUCUAACAUCACCAAAACGACCCUGAUACGAGAAAGCCAUUUCGAGUGCGGUAGAUCAUAAUGGUGCUCCACAAACACAAUCACAAUAAUUGCCAACACAGUGAAAUGAAAGCACAUAAAACAUAUCAAUUUCUUGGUUCAAGCCCAAAAUGGAACAUCAACCAAAAGCCCAUCAAAUAGUAAGACCAAGUGAAUUAACGUUUCAAGACUCAGAUUCAUAUCAGAUGCAUAUCAAUUCUCACAUAAUUUCACUUUAUUACUUUAGUCAUCAACCAAACAAAACAAAACAAAACAAAAAAUACAACAGCACUCUUCAGCUCCGAAUUAAAAAAAGAAAAGAAAAAAAUUACUUCAUACACUGAAUUUAUCAAUACCAGCAUCAUAACUUGAAAACCACGAUGAAAAUUCACAAUAACAAAACCAAAUAUACAGAAACUUAUGCACAACUGAUGACUUAGCUUAAAUAAUUCAUAAUGUAAUAUCAAUUACCAUCGUCUUCCCUUGGUUGUUCGGAAGAUUGAUGCGCCUGACCGGAUAGUGAUGCAAGCAAAUUGAGAUGGUGCCCCUGUACUUGAGCUAUGGGUAAAUAAUUACCAAUCCUUGCAGCUGAUGCCUCUCCCAUUCCCAGUGGUUGUUGCUGCUGCAGAAACCUAAAGGAAGAAGAAGGCUGCUGCUGGGCAAUGCUCCAAACUUGCCCAAAAUCCGGCCUAGUCGGCAAAGCCCAGAACCCUCCAGGAGCCACCGAGGAACCCAUGUCUUCUUUGCUGAGAUGAUGGUGGUGAUCAUCGUCGUCCGGUCGGAGCCGCUUCCCGAGAAUGAAGUUGGUUGGAGAAAGCUGAGAAUGAGGGACGGAGGAGUUCCGGGUGGAGGUGCAGACGGUGGCGAAACUAGCAGGGGUGGUGCCGCUGCCGGUGGCAGCUAUAAUUGAAGGCUCCGCGUGACGGAGAAGCCACUCGAUAGUCUGUCCAUCGGACUUGUGGCCGAGCUCACGGGUGAGCUGGAAAACCCUGGCGGCGCAGAUUAUAGGCAUGCGAAUGCGGCGGCCUCGGCCGUCGACCUUGCUGUGGCGGUCCUUGGCCGGAGGCUUCUUCACUUGCAAACCACCGUUGGUUGUGGUGGACAGCGUCUGUUUCUGAGAAGGAUCAAUAAUGUCAAGUCCACUACCAUUACAGUCAGCUGCCGACAUUGACAUAGUAGUCUAUAGUACGAAUCUAUUCAAUUUCUGGUAUAAAAUAGAGAUGAGUAGGGUUUUGGGGAAUGUAAAUAAAUGGAAAUUGAAAUGGAAUUAGGGUUUUUGUUCAGGGUUGAGACGGAGAGAGUAAUGAUUGAGGGAGGGAAGCGGCAGGAACUGGUGGAGACAGGGGAGGAGCACAUGGGUGGUGGGGUCUAUUCUCUUAGUAGUAAGUAAGUACUUUCAAUUCCCAGCUCACUCGUGUCCUCAAGGUGUCGGUGUUGCUGACGAUAAAAUGCCCGAUUAAAAAUUUAAGCUAUUUAAAAAAACGACGAGCAUCAUUUAUGAGUAAUGCCAUUUAACAUUGGUAAUUCCUGACGUAAUCCUAAGAGCAUCCUCGUAUAAGAUAAAAAUUUAGAUUUAUAAACCUCCGGGGUCCUAUCCGCACGUCGUAAAGGGAGGUCUACAGGGAAGAGAAUCGCAUCCCGAAUAUUCGACCUAAAUAUAUAUAAGUUGUGACCGCCUCCGAAUUUAUUUGGAUGACAAACUAGAGUGGAAAAUCGUCACUCUUCAGAAUUAGUCAAGCAUGAUUUGGACACCUGAGUUAUCAAAUAAUAAAUUAGAUCUAUAAAGUGAUGAAANGGCAGGAACUGGUGGAGACAGGGGAGGAGCACAUGGGUGGUGGGGUCUAUUCUCUUAGUAGUAAGUAAGUACUUUCAAUUCCCAGCUCACUUGUGUCCGCA